GCUGGGUGCAUUGGUGCACACCUGUCAUCCCAGUGACUCGGAGGCUGAGGCAGGAGGAUCUCAAGUUUGAGAUCAGCUUCUGCAACUUAAUGAGACCUUGACUCAA
This 106-nucleotide small RNA is filed under the name Marmota monax (woodchuck). Lineage: Eukaryota; Metazoa; Chordata; Mammalia; Rodentia; Sciuridae. The record is from RNAcentral.